UGUCUCAGUUCGGAUUGGAGUCUGCAACCCGACUCCAUGAAGCUGGAUUCGCUAGUAAUCGCGCAUCAGCCACGGCGCGGUGAAUACGUUCCCGGGCCUUGUACACACCGCCCGUCAAGCCAUGGGAGCCGGGGGUGCCUGAAGGCCGUGACCGCGAGGAGCGGCCUAGGGUAAAACUGGUGACUGGGGCUAAGUCGUAACAAGGUAAC
This 209-nucleotide ribosomal RNA is filed under the name uncultured bacterium. RNAcentral describes it as "partial 16S ribosomal RNA". It matches the Rfam family "Bacterial small subunit ribosomal RNA", at positions 1284 to 1500 of the family's 1533-position model. The record is from RNAcentral.